This 511-nucleotide ribosomal RNA is filed under the name uncultured bacterium. Its description in RNAcentral is "partial 16S ribosomal RNA". It matches the Rfam family "Bacterial small subunit ribosomal RNA", at positions 28 to 506 of the family's 1533-position model. The record is from RNAcentral.
GAUGAACGCUGGCGGCGUGCCUAAUACAUGCAAGUCGAACGAAACUUCUUUAUCACCGAGUGCUUGCACUCACCGAUACAGAGUUGAGUGGCGAACGGGUGAGUAACACGUGGGCAACCUGCCCAAAAGAGGGGGAUAACACUUGGAAACAGGUGCUAAUACCGCAUAACCAUAGUUACCGCAUGGUAACUAUGUACAAGGUGGCUAUACUACCGCUUUUGGAUGGGCCCGCGGCGCAUUAGCUAGUUGGUAGGGUAAAGGCUUACCAAGGCAAUGAUGCGUAGCCGAAUUGAGAGGUUGAUCGGCCACAUUGGGACUGAGACACGGCCCAAACUCCUACGGGAGGCAGCAGUAGGGAAUCUUCCACAAUGGGCGAAAGCCUGAUGGAGCAACGCCGCGUGGGUGAAGAAGGUCUUCGGAUCGUAAAACCCUGUUGUUAGAGAAGAAAGUGCGUGAGAGUAACUGUUCACGUUUCGACGGUAUCUAACCAGAAAGCCACGGCUAACUACGU